UACGUAGGGUGCAAGCGUUGCCCGGAUUUAUUGGGCGUAAAGGGCUCGUAGGCGGUUUGUCGCGUCGGGAGUGAAAACACCGGGCUUAACUCGGUGCUUGCUUUCGAUACGGGCAGACUGGAGGUAUGCAGGGGAGAACGGAAUUCCUGGUGUAGCGGUGAAAUGCGCAGAUAUCAGGAGGAACACCGGUGGCGAAGGCGGUUCUCUGGGCAUUACCUGACGCUGAGGAGCGAAAGUGUGGGGAGCGAACAGG
RNAcentral lists this ribosomal RNA (253 nucleotides) under uncultured bacterium. Its description in RNAcentral is "partial 16S ribosomal RNA". It matches the Rfam family "Bacterial small subunit ribosomal RNA", at positions 524 to 776 of the family's 1533-position model. The record is from RNAcentral.